RNAcentral lists this ribosomal RNA (254 nucleotides) under uncultured bacterium. Its description in RNAcentral is "partial 16S ribosomal RNA". It matches the Rfam family "Bacterial small subunit ribosomal RNA", at positions 524 to 776 of the family's 1533-position model. The record is from RNAcentral.
UACGUAGGGUGCAAGCGUUGUCCGGAAUUAUUGGGCGUAAAGAGCUCGUAGGCGGUGUGUCACGUCGUUCGUGAAAACCUGCAGCUUAACUGUGGGCGUGCGGUCGAUACGGGCAUCACUGGAGUUCGGCAGGGGAGACUGGAAUUCCUGGUGUAGCGGUGAAAUGCGCAGAUAUCAGGAGGAACACCGAUGGCGAAGGCAGGUCUCUGGGCCGAUACUGACGCUGAGGAGCGAAAGCGUGGGGAGCGAACAGG